RNAcentral lists this ribosomal RNA (360 nucleotides) under uncultured eukaryote. Its description in RNAcentral is "SSU rRNA". It matches the Rfam family "Eukaryotic small subunit ribosomal RNA", at positions 612 to 972 of the family's 1831-position model. The record is from RNAcentral.
AGCAGUCGCGGUUAAAAAGCUCGUAGUUGGAUUUCUGCCGAGGACGACCGGUCCGCCCUCUGGGUGAGCAUCUGGGACUGCCUGGGCAUCCUCUUGGGGAACGUAGCUGCACUUGACCGUGUGGUGCGGUAUCCAGGACUUUUACUUUGAGGAAAUUAGAGUGUUUCAAGCAGGCGCACGCCUUGAAUACGUUAGCAUGGAAUAAUAAGAUAGGACCUCGGUUCUGUUUUGUUGGUUUCUAGAGCUGAGGUAAUGAUUAAUAGGGAUAGUUGGGGGCAUUCGUAUUUAGCUGUCAGAGGUGACAUUCUUGGAUUUGUUAAAGACAGACUACUGCGAAAGCAUUUGCCAAGGAUGUUUUCA